Bombus impatiens (common eastern bumble bee) is the source of this 415-nucleotide long non-coding RNA. RefSeq lists it as uncharacterized. Lineage: Eukaryota; Metazoa; Arthropoda; Insecta; Hymenoptera; Apidae. The record is from RefSeq and is a predicted model, not a curated record. The transcript has 2 exons.
UUUAAAUAUUUCAUUAACUCGCAGCUUCUUUUCAAACACUUUCAAGGAUAACUCUUCUUGAGAAAUCUAAAAUCUUUCGGGCGAAUCUUCUAAUUUUGCUUAGAAUUUUUCUUUGAAUUCCUCAAAGAUAUAGCAACUCUUUCUAUAAGGUUCUUUCUCAAGGGUCUUUUUAGUUGGACACUUUUUCUUCAACCUCAAAAAGUGUAAUAUUCUUCUUUUAAAAAAUUCCUGCGAGAAAAUCCAAAAAUUCCGAAAGAUUGUCCUCUACAACUUCCUUCAAAUCUUCCCUUAAUUAAGAAUUUUAUUCGAAUUCUUUAAUUCAAAAUUCUCUGCGAAUUCUCGUCUAAUUUAAAGGAACCUCGAGAAGAGAUGAUACAUUUGCCAGUGUCUUAGUGAUUUUCUUCGAGUCCGUAGA